Molecule: ribosomal RNA, 383 nt
Filed under: uncultured eukaryote
Lineage: Eukaryota
Description: partial 18S ribosomal RNA
Rfam family: Eukaryotic small subunit ribosomal RNA
Source: RNAcentral
CAAUAGCGUAUAUUAAAGUUGUUGCAGUUAAAAAGCUCGUAGUUGGAUUUCUGGUGGGAGCGAUCGGUCUGGCGCUUAGCGCGAGUACUUGCAUCGUCUCCGGCCAUCCUUGGGGAGAGUCUGUCUGGCAUUAAGUUGUCGGGCAGAGGAUCCUCAUCGUUUACUGUGAAAAAAUUAGAGUGUUCAAAGCAGGCUUAUGCCGUUGAAUAUAUUAGCAUGGAAUAAUAAGAUAGGACUUUGGUACUAUUUUGUUGGUUUGCGCACCAAAGUAAUGAUUAAUAGAGACAGUUGGGGGUAUUCGUAUUCCGUUGUCAGAGGUGAAAUUCUUGGAUUUACGGAAGACGAACUACUGCGAAAGCAUUUACCAAGGAUGUUUUCAUUAA